UACUUUCAAGAGUUUUAUUUCAUUUAACAUAAGAUUUGUGUAAAACUACAUUACUUCAUACUCUCAGGAAUUAGGAAGAAAAAGAUAUAUGUAUGCACACUUCACAAAAAGUUGCACUGCUAAACAGUUACUUUAACCUUACAAACUAGCAAAGAAGUAUCCAUGAUAUACUAGAUUUUUGUUUUUAUUCUUUAAGCAUUAAAUAAUUCAUCAAUAUCACAACAGCUUCAGUAACUAACUGUUCUACGGAAUAGAUUUAAGGCUUGACACUUAACAUAUAGACAAGCUGUAUCAAAAAGAAUGUUCUAUGCUUCAUUAUAUGGUCCAACCAGUCUCACAGCUCUAGUCAAAGUGAUGGCAAGUGGAAGAAGCUGAAAGAACCAAUUUUUUUUUUUUUUUUCCAGUUCUUACAUAAGCAUUUUAGGAGUGAGGAUUUCUUCUCAAUUCAGAAAAAUCUUUUAUAUACUUAAUUGUCACCCAGCCUUGGCUUCACCAAUUCAAAUACAGAGAAAAAGAUAUGAAAUAAAAACAAGGGAAAGCUAAAUUUUCUUUUUGCGCUCUCCUGGUCUUACCAAUCACACAGUCAUCCGGUUGCUGUGAGGAGGGUAA
Molecule: long non-coding RNA, 609 nt
Filed under: Bos taurus (domestic cattle)
Lineage: Eukaryota; Metazoa; Chordata; Mammalia; Artiodactyla; Bovidae
Description: long non-coding RNA NONBTAT007638
Source: RNAcentral